This 497-nucleotide ribosomal RNA is filed under the name uncultured bacterium. RNAcentral's name for it is "partial 16S ribosomal RNA". It matches the Rfam family "Bacterial small subunit ribosomal RNA", at positions 28 to 507 of the family's 1533-position model. The record is from RNAcentral.
GAUGAACGCUGGCGGCGUGCCUAAUACAUGCAAGUCGAGCGAACAGAUAAGGAGCUUGCUCCUUUGACGUUAGCGGCGGACGGGUGAGUAACACGUGGAUAACCUACCUAUAAGACUGGGAUAACUUCGGGAAACCGGAGCUUAUACCGGAUAACAUAUUGAACCGCAUGGUUCAAUAGUGAAAGGCGGCUUUGCUGUCACUUAUCGCUGGAUCUGCGCCGUAUUAGCUAGUUGGUAAGGUAACGGCUUACCAAGGCGACGAUACGUAGCCGACCUGAGAGGGUGAUCGGCCGCACUGGAGCGGAGACACGGUCCAGACUCCUACGGGAGGGAGCAGUAGGGAAUCUUCCGCAAUGGGCGAGAGCCUUGCGGAGCGACGCGGCGUGAGUGAUAAAGGUCUUCGGAUCGUAAAGCUCUGUUAUCAGGGAAGAACAAAUGUGUAAGUAACUGUGCACAUCGUGACGGUACCUGAUCAGAAAGCCACGGCUAACUACGUG